GAUGAACGCUGGCGGCGUGCCUAAUACAUGCAAGUCGAACGAACAGACGAGGAGCUUGCUCCGCUGACGUUAGCGGCGGACGGGUGAGUAACACGUGGAUAACCUACCUAUAAGACUGGGAUAACUUCGGGAAACCGGAGCUAAUACCGGAUAAGAUAUUGAACCACAUUGUUCAAUAGUGAAAGACGGUGUUUCGGUCACGUAUAGAUGCAUCCGCGCGGCAUUAGCUAGUUGGUAAGGUAACGGCUUACCAAGGCAACGAUGCGUAGCCGACCUGAGAGGGUGAUCGGCCACACUGGAAGGGAGACACGGUCCAGACUCCUACGGGAGGGAGCAGUCGGGAAUCUUACGCAAUGGGCGAAAGCAUGACGGAGCAAGCGCGAGUGAGUGAUGAAGGUCUUCCGAUCGGAAAAAUCUGUUAUUAGGGAAGAACAAAUGUGUACGUAACUAUGGAGGUAUUGACGGUAACUAGUAAGAAAGCAACGGCUAACUACGUG
Molecule: ribosomal RNA, 497 nt
Filed under: uncultured bacterium
Lineage: Bacteria
Description: partial 16S ribosomal RNA
Rfam family: Bacterial small subunit ribosomal RNA
Source: RNAcentral